GGGGAAUUUUCCGCAAUGGGCGAAAGCCUGACGGAGCAAUACCGCGUGAGGGACGAAGGUCUGUGGAUUGUAAACCUCUUUUGUUAGGGAAGAUAAUGACGGUACCUAACGAAUAAGCAUCGGCUAACUCCGUGCCAGCAGCCGCGGUAAGACGGAGGAUGCAAGCGUUAUCCGGAAUUAUUGGGCGUAAAGCGUACGUAGGCUGUUUCAUAAGUCUGUUGUCAAAGCGCGAGGCUUAACCUUGUAAAGGCAAUGGAAACUGUGAGGCUAGAGAGAGAAAGGGGCAGGAGGAAUUCCAGGUGUAGCGGUGAAAUGCGUAGAUAUCUGGAAGAACACCAGUGGCGAAAGCGUCCUGCUGGAUCUCAACUGACGCUGAAGUACGAAAGCUAGGGGAGCGAAUGGGA
This 404-nucleotide ribosomal RNA is filed under the name uncultured cyanobacterium. Its description in RNAcentral is "bacterial SSU rRNA". It matches the Rfam family "Bacterial small subunit ribosomal RNA", at positions 356 to 777 of the family's 1533-position model. Lineage: Bacteria; Bacillati; Cyanobacteriota. The record is from RNAcentral.